CCUACGGGAGGCAGCAGUGGGGAAUAUUGCACAAUGGGGGAAACCCUGAUGCAGCGACGCCGCGUGAGUGAAGAAGUAUCUCGGUACGUAAAGCUCUAUCAUCAGGGAAGAAAAUGACGGUACCUGACUAAGAAGCCCCGGCUAACUACGUGCCAGCAGCCGCGGUAAUACGUAGGGGGCAAGCGUUAUCCGGAUUUACUGGGUGUAAAGGGAGCGUAGACGGGUGCACAAGUCUGUAGUGAAAUCCCGGGGCUUAACCCCAGAACUGCUUUGGAAACUGUGAGGCUGGAGUGCAGGAGGGGUAAGCGGAAUUCGUGGUGUAGCGGUGAAAUGCGUAGAUAUUAGGAGGAACACCGGUGGCGAAGGCGGCUUACUGGACUGUAACUGACGUUGAGGCUCGAAAGCGUGGGGAGCAAACAGGAUUAGAUACCCCUGUAGUC
RNAcentral lists this ribosomal RNA (440 nucleotides) under uncultured bacterium. Its description in RNAcentral is "partial 16S ribosomal RNA". It matches the Rfam family "Bacterial small subunit ribosomal RNA", at positions 338 to 795 of the family's 1533-position model. The record is from RNAcentral.